UACGUAGGGUGCGAGCGUUAAUCGGAAUUACUGGGCGUAAAGCGUGCGCAGGCGGUUCGUUGUGUCGGUGGUGAAAUCCCCGGGCUUAACCUGGGAAUGGCCAUGGAAACUGGCGAACUGGAGUGUGGCAGAGGGGGGUGGAAUUCCGCGUGUAGCAGUGAAAUGCGUAGAUAUCUGGAGGAACACCGGUGGCGAAGGCGGCAUCCUGGACCGGCAUUGACGCUGAGGAGCGAAAGCCAGGGGAGCAAACGGG
Molecule: ribosomal RNA, 253 nt
Filed under: uncultured bacterium
Lineage: Bacteria
Description: partial 16S ribosomal RNA
Rfam family: Bacterial small subunit ribosomal RNA
Source: RNAcentral